AAUGUCAUACAACUGACGUUUUACAAACGUUAGUUCUAUGGAAGUGAAGUGUCGCGUCGUGCUGUG
This is a long non-coding RNA of Aricia agestis (brown argus), 66 nucleotides long. RefSeq lists it as uncharacterized. NCBI's taxonomy places the organism in Eukaryota, Metazoa, Arthropoda, Insecta, Lepidoptera, Lycaenidae. The record is from RefSeq and is a predicted model, not a curated record. The transcript has 3 exons.